AGGAAUAUUGGUCAAUGGACGAGAGCCUGAACCAGCCAAGUAGCGUGCAGGAUGACAGCCCUAUGGGUUGUAAACUGCUUUUAUAAGGGAAUAAAGUGAGUCUCGUGAGGCUUUUUGCAUGUACCUUAUGAAUAAGGACCGGCUAAUUCCGUGCCAGCAGCCGCGGUAAUACGGAAGGUCCGGGCGUUAUCCGGAUUUAUUGGGUUUAAAGGGAGCGUAGGCCGGAGAUUAAGCGUGUUGUGAAAUGUAGACGCUCAACGUCUGCACUGCAGCGCGAACUGGUUUCCUUGAGUACGCACAAAGUGGGCGGAAUUCGUGGUGUAGCGGUGAAAUGCUUAGAUAUCACGAAGAACUCCGAUUGCGAAGGCAGCUCACUGGAGCGCAACUGACGCUGAAGCUCGAAAGUGCGGGUAUCGAACAGGAUUAGAUACCCUGGUAGUCCGCACGGUAAACGAUGGAUGCCCGCUGUUGGUCUGAACAGGUCAGCGGCCAAGCGAAAGCAUUAAGCAUCCCACCUGGGGAGUACGCCGGCAACGGUGAAACUCAAAGGAAUUGACGGGGGCCCGCACAAGCGGAGGAACAUGUGGUUUAAUUCGAUGAUACGCGAGGAACCUUACCCGGGCUUGAAUUGCAGAGGAAGGAUUUGGAGACAAUGACGCCCUUCGGGGCCUCUGUGAAGGUGCUGCAUGGUUGUCGUCAGCUCGUGCCGUGAGGUGUCGGCUUAAGUGCCAUAACGAGCGCAACCCCUCUCCUUAGUUGCCAUCAGGUCAUGCUGGGCACUCUGGGGACACUGCCACCGUAAGGUGUGAGGAAGGUGGGGAUGACGUCAAAUCAGCACGGCCCUUACGUCCGGGGCUACACACGUGUUACAAUGGCAGGUACAGAGAGACGGUCCCUUGCAAAAGGGAUCAAAUCCUCAAAGCCUGUCUCAGUUCGGACUGGGGUCUGCAACCCGACCCCACGAAGCUGGAUUCGCUAGUAAUCGCGCAUCAGCCAUGGCGCGGUGAAUACGUUCCCG
This 1018-nucleotide ribosomal RNA is filed under the name uncultured bacterium. RNAcentral describes it as "bacterial SSU rRNA". It matches the Rfam family "Bacterial small subunit ribosomal RNA", at positions 357 to 1376 of the family's 1533-position model. The record is from RNAcentral.